UUUCCGUAGGUGAACCUGCGGAAGGAUCAUUAAUGAGUUGUCAUGGGGUUCGAUGCUGGCAGCCAGUUUUUGGAUGCAUGUGCUUGCCCUAACAAUCAUCUUCUUCCAAACACCUGUGCACAUUUUUGAGGGAGUCUUGAGUUGGUUGCCGCUCUUGGGUGAUUUUCUCACAUCCCUUAAAUCAUUAUACGCUAUUAACAAUGUUGAACGUGCUCUGUGCCGCAAGGCCAUUAAUAUAAUACAACUUUUAACAACGGAUCUCUUGGCUCUC
RNAcentral lists this unclassified non-coding RNA (271 nucleotides) under plant metagenome. Its description in RNAcentral is "partial contains small subunit ribosomal RNA, internal transcribed spacer 1, and 5.8S ribosomal RNA". The record is from RNAcentral.